CUUCUUUCGCCAUUACACUAACACGUUUCAAAAUCAAGAUUAAGACUGAACGUUGCCAUUGCAGCCAAAGGUGAAAUGGUACCAGAAAUCGUGUGUGAAUGUAGUAUCUCUGAGGCCGUAUAUGAGCGGGCUGAGAAAUUUGGGGAAGAUAAUGAGGCCUACGAAGAGAGCGUAGUGAAAAUGAAGCUCCAUGUCGGGCUUUAAGUUCAACAGGCCGCCUGUGUAAAUCAUGUUGAAGAGUGUGGAGGUGAGACACAAACACAGCUGAAACAUAUGAAGCAUCACCGUAUUCCGAGCCUUGCUGGCUUCCCGAAAAGUUGUGGAAGCUGACCUGACGGCAAAAAUGAUUGCGAUUAUUGGGACAUGACGAAGCUGCUGUUCUCCAGCCUGACGAAGAGCAACAGCUGGACGAAGGAGUCCAAGGAGGCCAUGGACCACAUGACAACGAUGGCGAUGCGCGUUGUCCUGAUGGUGACAAUGUUGGCGUGCCUGAGCGGUAAACAAAUGGCCACGUAGCGCUCCAGCGACAUCACGGCCAGGUUUAGCGGGGACGUUUUCAAAGCGAUGGCCGCCAGUUGCACCACCAGCAUGCAGAGGUGAUUGACCAUGGUGACUAUGGUGAUGGCAAAGAUGUACAGCAGCAUGGUGAGCAGCAGCUGGAGGGUGUCGGUGAGGAGCAAGUGGCCGAAGAGGAUGUAGCGAGAAGACUCCAGCAGUGUGGGGACACGAUGAAGCUGCUGUUCUCCAGCCUGACAAAGAGCAACAGCUGGAUAAAGGAGUCCAAGGAGGCCAUGGACCACAUGACAACGAUGGCGAUGCGCGUUGUCCUGAUGGUGACAAUGUUGGCGUGCCUGAGCGGUAAACAAAUGGCCACGUAGCGCUCCAGUGACAUCACGGCCAGGUUAAGCGGGGACAUUUUCAUUGUGACGGCUGCCAGUUGCACCACCAGCAUGCAGAGGUGAUUGAUCAUGGUGGCGGUGGUGAUGGCAAAGAUAUACAGCAGCAUGGCCAGCAGCAGCUGGAGGGACUCGGUGAGGAGCAAGUGGCCGAAGAGGAUGUAGCGAGAAGACUCCAGCAGGUGAGGCUUUCUCAGCAGGGUCAACAACAUGACCCCGUUGAUGUAGAUGAAAAGAAGACAUGGCAGUAUGGACACCAGCACUUUCAUGUGUUCCUGGAGCGUCGGCACCUGGUUUACUUCAGACGACACGUUCAUGACUGCAGCACCUGGAAAAAAACGGCACUCUUGUUAACAUAUCCACCCACUACACAUUGUAUCAAUGAACCUACUAGUAUGAAUACUUACAUGUCAAUGAUGUCAGCCAACUUCAUGAAACUAUGAUGGUUUAGUGUCUUCUUGUGUCUUUCAUCAUCUAUGUGGCAGCAUCCUCACUGAUGUAAUUGUAACCAACAACCAAUCAAAACUAAGCACUGCUUACGACUGCACUAGGGGAUUAAAAGAUAUGCUAACA
Entelurus aequoreus (snake pipefish) is the source of this 1469-nucleotide long non-coding RNA. RefSeq lists it as uncharacterized. The transcript is spliced from 3 exons. The record is from RefSeq and is a predicted model, not a curated record. NCBI's taxonomy places the organism in Eukaryota, Metazoa, Chordata, Actinopteri, Syngnathiformes, Syngnathidae.